This 305-nucleotide ribosomal RNA is filed under the name uncultured bacterium. RNAcentral describes it as "bacterial SSU rRNA". It matches the Rfam family "Bacterial small subunit ribosomal RNA", at positions 336 to 638 of the family's 1533-position model. The record is from RNAcentral.
UUCCUACGGGGCGCAGCAGUGAGGAAUAUUGGUCAAUGGCCGGAAGGCUGAACCAGCCAAGCCGCGUGAGGGAGGAAGGCGCAGAGCGUCGCAGACCUCUUUUGCCGGGGGACAAAAGGCCGGACUCGUCCGGUCCUGAGGGUACCCGGAGAAAAAGCAUCGGCUAACUCCGUGCCAGCAGCCGCGGUAAUACGGAGGAUGCAAGCGUUAUCCGGAUUUACUGGGUGUAAAGGGAGCGUAGGCGGUGAUGCAAGUCAGAAGUGAAAGCCCGCAGCUCAACUGCGGGAAUGCUUUUGAAACUGUAU